This is a long non-coding RNA of Hermetia illucens (black soldier fly), 302 nucleotides long. RefSeq lists it as uncharacterized. Lineage: Eukaryota; Metazoa; Arthropoda; Insecta; Diptera; Stratiomyidae. The record is from RefSeq and is a predicted model, not a curated record. The transcript is spliced from 3 exons.
AGAUUGUUUUGUCUUUCGGUUGUUCGCCUGAUUUACAUAGUUAUUAUAAUUUAGCCUAGAGUUAUACAAUAGUUUUGCUGAUGGAAUUGGUUUUAACCGAAAACCAGUUGAAACAUCUGCUGUCAAGUGGUAUAGGAAGAUACCUACUUGAAAGCGACAAUAACUUCAUUAUGUUAAUAGGAGCCUAUCACAACACACGAAAAACUGAAACCGUUGUUUCCGAGUCAGUAAUGAGCACCCACAGUGAUAGUUUUAACUAAAAUAAGAAAUUUCAAAUUUCAAGUUCGAAAUGGGAACUCGGC